Molecule: ribosomal RNA, 253 nt
Filed under: uncultured bacterium
Lineage: Bacteria
Description: partial 16S ribosomal RNA
Rfam family: Bacterial small subunit ribosomal RNA
Source: RNAcentral
UACGAAGGGUGCAAGCGUUACUCGGAAUUACUGGGCGUAAAGCGUGCGUAGGUGGUUUGUUAAGUCUGUUGUGAAAGCCCCCGGCUCAACCGGGGAGAGUGGUGCCGAACUGGACUUCUUGAGGGCGAUAGAGGAGAGUGGAAUUCCGGGUGUAGCGGUGAAAUGCGUAGAGAUCCGGAGGAACACCAGUGGCGCAGGCGGCUCUCUGGGAAUGACCUGACGCUGAGGAGCGAAAGUGUGGGGAGCGAACAGG